This 253-nucleotide ribosomal RNA is filed under the name uncultured bacterium. Its description in RNAcentral is "partial 16S ribosomal RNA". It matches the Rfam family "Bacterial small subunit ribosomal RNA", at positions 524 to 776 of the family's 1533-position model. The record is from RNAcentral.
UACGAAGGGAGCUAGCGUUGUUCGGAAUUACUGGGCGUAAAGGGCGCGUAGGCGGCCAUGUAAGUUAGAUGUGAAAGCCCCGGGCUUAACCUGGGAACUGCAUUUAAGACUGCAGGGCUAGAGGACGAGAGAGGAAAGUGGAAUUGUGAGUGUAGAGGUGAAAUUCGUAGAUAUUCACAAGAACACCAGUGGCGAAGGCGACUUUCUGGCUCGUAUCUGACGCUAAGGCGCGAAAGCGUGGGGAGCAAACAGG